GACGGAGGAUGCAAGCGUUAUUCGGAUUUACUGGGCGUACAGGGAGCGUAGGCGGUUCGGUAAGCCCUCUGUGAAAUCUUCAGGCUUAACCUGGAAAAGUCGGAGGGGACUGCCGGGCUAGAGGACGGGAGAGGAGCGCGGAAUUCCCGGUGUAGCGGUGAAAUGCGUAGAGAUCGGGAGGAAGGCCGGUGGCGAAGGCGGCGCUCUGGAACGUUUCUGACGCUGAGGCUCGAAAGCGUGGGGAGCAAACAG
Molecule: ribosomal RNA, 252 nt
Filed under: uncultured bacterium
Lineage: Bacteria
Description: partial 16S ribosomal RNA
Rfam family: Bacterial small subunit ribosomal RNA
Source: RNAcentral